Molecule: ribosomal RNA, 400 nt
Filed under: uncultured bacterium
Lineage: Bacteria
Description: bacterial SSU rRNA
Rfam family: Bacterial small subunit ribosomal RNA
Source: RNAcentral
AGCCUUUGGCAUGUCCCGGACGGUUACCAGAGAUGGUUUCUUCUCUUCGGAGCCGGGAACACAGGUGCUGCAUGGCUGUCGUCAGCUCGUGUCGUGAGAUGUUGGGUUAAGUCCCGCAACGAGCGCAACCUUCGCCCUUAGUUGCCAUCAUUAAGUUGGGCACUCUAGGGGGACUGCCGGUGAUAAGCCGCGAGGAAGGUGAAGAUGACGUCAAGUCCUCAUGGCCCUUACGGGCUGGGCUACACACGUGCUACAAUGGCGGUGACAGUGGGAAGCGAACUCGCGAGGGUAAGCAAAUCUCCAAAAGCCGUCUCAGUUCGGAUUGCACUCUGCAACUCGAGUGCAUGAAGUUGGAAUCGCUAGUAAUCGUGGAUCAGCAUGCCACGGUGAAUACGUUCCC